Molecule: non-coding RNA, 66 nt
Filed under: Thiocystis violascens DSM 198
Lineage: Bacteria; Pseudomonadati; Pseudomonadota; Gammaproteobacteria; Chromatiales; Chromatiaceae
Source: RNAcentral
CCGCGAAACCCGCCCCCCCGGCGGGUCUGCCCGGCGUGGUGGCCGGACACUGACGAGCAGCCGCAA